ACCCCUAACUUUAUCAUUCUUCUUCUUUCCUCUUGUACACGGGGCCUUGCACACGUCGAACACCGUGAAACAUCGACGGAGACGCUCCACCAUUAAAUCCAUGUUUGGCAAACAUCGAGCUUCGAUGAUUUUCAAAUUAAGGUCGCCAUGCAAAAAUACAACAGGAUCCGAAACAUCUUCCCCCAUUGAAUCAAAUCGAGAAAUAAAGAAAAAAUAUUCAAAGACGCUUAAUGAGAAAAAUGAAGAUGAUAAAUAGCAAUGUAAAAGGUAGGCAAGGUAGGUUACAGUAGCUUGAAAAUAAAAUUGUUUUUGUUUUUAGUAAUUAAUUAGUGUUCAUAUUGGUGUUGGCAAUAACCGGAGAACAACAAAGUCACUGCCGUGUAGGGACGUUGUUUUCAAAACAGCAGAAUCCCAGUUUGUUUUCUCUGACUAAAGCCAACGGCCAAAACCGAAGGCUGUAAUAGGGAGCGGAAUUCCAGAAGUCGAUUGGGUUUAAUGUAGAGGCUGUACAAUACAACAACAUCAAGUUUCAAGUAUGGGAUUUAGCUCAACUACCCGGAACAACUCAAGAUUACUUGCAAAUAUUUAACAUAGAGAUGAAAGCAAAAAUGAAGUCACAUCAGAUGCCUGAACAGGUUGUAUUUUGGAAAUGGAUUUCCCCAAAAAUGCUUGGCCUAGUCACACAAACUUCUGUGUAUCAUUGGUCAAUUGAAGGCAUUCUGUUGUGCAAGUAGAUCAUUCUUCUCUUAUGUAGAAGCCAUUCAUUAGUAUAUUUCAAGGCUGCCAGAUUCAUUCCAGAUAAAGUUUUCAUGAAGCAAAUUCUUAGAUCUACCCAUAAAUAGAGUAUAUAUGUCCACAUUUUGUUCAUGGUUCACAACUUGCUUAGUAUUUCAGUUUGUGGGACAAUCUUUGUUACUCCCGUAGAAAAGUUUGGGUGUUUAAUGAUUUUACAGAUGCUAUGUAUAACGAAGAUUUUAUAGCCUUCUUGACGGGGUGUACAUGUUUAUACCUUCGCUUUCACUGUUCUAAUCUUGGAGACAGAAUGCAUUUUUCUCAUUUUUUCUCUCUUGAUUUUUGCUUUUAUUAGAUGCUGAAGUGAACCAUCUUUUGGAAUCUGUGGUUGUCUUAGGUACUGGUCCUUUUGAAAUUUAGUACAGUGCUUUAUUUUGUUACAGCUGAGGUUGUGGCAGGAUCAACAGCAUGGUUGGGUUGAGGUCUUUCUUGUGUAUGUGCUCAGAGCAGAGAGAGUGAUGCUCGUCCAUCAUUUGAUUUAACUCCUUCCCAGAAAAUGAAUUUUAACGCGAUGGAGAAAGAGGAAUUUGGAUUCUCAAGAAACUAUUUCUGAGCAAAAGAAAUGGGCAGUUCUGGGAAGAAAUCUGCUCGUAAACUCAGUGAUGUCAACGUCGUUGACGAACAGGAACUUAGAGAAGCUUCAGCUAAUAUUGAACCAAAGCAUCAAAACGACGUUGCAGAUUUAAUAAAUAGUUACAAAAGUUUAUACCCAGAAUGGGUUUUUGAUCUCAGGCACUUAGAUUAAGGUCGAAUGAGCUAAAAUUGGUGAGGCAAUUGGAGAACACAGAGGCUGAAAUUUCUUCUUUCAAGUAUGAUGUAAUUUUUCUUUACCAAAGGGCUUGUGAUCUACAUUUUCAGGAUUAGUUGAUUACUUUUUUUGGUAUUACUCCUGAAAAAGUGAUUGCCAAAAACUGCUGUUUCUGGAUUUGUGUAUUUUCUUUUUUUUUUUUUCUUGUGGUUACUGCUGCCCCUGUUUUUGGGAGGUGAUUGUGUAAACAUUUUAGUGUGCUUUAGUUAUUGUAAGAAUAUUUUUAACAUUGUUAAUUUUAAUAUUAUUGUAAGAAUAUUUUGACUUAUAAUUCAAUUAUCAAUUUAUAUCA
This is an RNA transcript of Gossypium raimondii (Peruvian cotton), 1892 nucleotides long. RefSeq lists it as uncharacterized. The transcript has 8 exons. The record is from RefSeq and is a predicted model, not a curated record. Lineage: Eukaryota; Viridiplantae; Streptophyta; Magnoliopsida; Malvales; Malvaceae.